AUGCCCCCCUUCGAAGAAGAGGGGGUAUAUUGCUUUGCUCAUGUCGGUCUGUCGGUCGGUCUGUCGGUCCGUCCACCAGGUGGUUGUCAGACGAUAACUCAAGAACGCUUGGGCCUAGGAUCAUGAAACUUCAUAGGUACAUUGAUCAUGACUUGCAGAUGACCCCUAUUGAUUUUGAGGUCACUAGGUCAAAGGUCAAGGUCACGGUGACCCGAAAUAGUAAAAUGGUUUCCGGAUGAUAACUCAAGAACGCAUACGCCUAGGAUCAUGAAACUUCAUGGGUAGAUUGAUCAUGACUCGCAGAUGACCCCUAUUGAUUUUGAGGUCACUAGGUCAAAGGUCAAGGUCACGGUGACCCGAAAUAGUAAAAUGGUUUCCGGAUGAUAACUCAAGAACGCAUACGCCUAGGAUCAUGAAACUUCAUGGGUAGAUUGAUCAUGACUCGCAGAUGACCCCUAUUGAUUUUGAGGUCACUAGGUCAAAGGUCAAGGUCACGGUGACCCGAAAUAGUAAAAUGAUUUUCGGAUGAUAACUCAAGAACGCAUACGCCUAGGAUCAUGAAACUUCAUGGGUAGAUUGAUCAUGACUCGCAGAUGACCCCUAUUGAUUUUGAGGUCACUAGGUCAACGGUCAAGGUCACGGUGACCCGAAAUAGUAAAAUUAUUUUCAGAUGAUAAUUCAAGAACGCAUAUGCCUAGGAUCAUGAAACUUUAUAGGUAGAUUAAUCAUGACUCGCAGAUGACCCCUAUUGAUUUUUAGGUCACUAGGUCAAAGGUCAAGGUCACGGUGACCCGAAAUAGUAAAAUGAUUUUCGGAUGAUAACUCAAGAACGCAUAUGCCUAGGAUCAUGAAACUUCAUAGGUAGAUUGAUCAUGACUCGCAGAUGACCCCUAUUGAUUUUGAGGUCACAAGGUCAAAGGUCAAUGUCACGGUGACCCGAAAUAGUAAAAUGAUUUUCGGAUGAUAACUCAAGAAGGCUUUUGCCUAGGAUCAUGACACUUCAUAGGUACAUUGAUCGUGACUUGCAGAUGACCCCUAUUGAUUUUCAGGUCACUAGGUCAAAGGUCAAGGUCACAGUGACAAAAGUCGUAUUCACACAAUGGCUGCCAGUACAACGGACAGCCCAUAUGGGGGGCAUGCAUGUUUUACAAACAGCCCUUGUUUUU
Molecule: long non-coding RNA, 1166 nt
Organism: Dreissena polymorpha
Lineage: Eukaryota; Metazoa; Mollusca; Bivalvia; Myida; Dreissenidae
Exons: 3
Source: RefSeq, a predicted model, not a curated record